UGAGUAGGACAGGUGAUCGCUGCUGCGUCUUAAAAGCGCAGGAGAGGAAAGUCCGGGCUUCACAGGGCAGGGUGCCAGAUAACGUCUGGCGAAGGCGACUUCAGGGAAAGUGCAACAGAAAUAAACCGCAUGCGUCUGCAUGUAAGGGUGGAAAGGCAGUGUAAGAGACUACCGCCUCGCUGGUAACAGGGAGGGCACAUGUAAACCCCACUCGAAGCAAGGCCGAACAGGGAGCGUAAGGCGGCCCGUCUGCUCCCGGGUAGGCUGCUGGAGCCGUUCGGUGACGGACGGCCUAGAUAGAUGAUCAUCCGCGACAUAACCCGGCUUAUCGUCCUGCUCAGGAU
Molecule: RNase P RNA, 344 nt
Filed under: Candidatus Copromonas avistercoris (nom. illeg.)
Lineage: Bacteria; Bacillati; Bacillota; Clostridia; Lachnospirales; Lachnospiraceae
Description: RNase P RNA component class A
Rfam family: Bacterial RNase P class A
About the family: Ribonuclease P (RNase P) is a ubiquitous endoribonuclease, found in archaea, bacteria and eukarya as well as chloroplasts and mitochondria. Its best characterised activity is the generation of mature 5'-ends of tRNAs by cleaving the 5'-leader elements of precursor-tRNAs.
Source: RNAcentral